CACCAUCAAUUUAGAUCUAAAUCCUGACAUUGCCACCUAGGUGGCUUUAAUUAUUUUAACAAGGUGAUAAAGGCUGGGAUGCUAUUUAUUUAAAAUAAACAGUUCUCAGUUACCCUAAUAAACACAUUGUAUUCACAUUGUUUUUUAAAAAAUGAACUUCUAACUUUAGAAUAAUUUUAGAUUUGCAGGGAAAUUGCGAAAAUAGUAUAGAGAGUUCCCAUAUGUCCUAAACCCAGUUUUCCCUAUUACUAACACCUGGCGUUAGUGUGGUACAUUUACCACAACUAGUAAACAAAUAUUGACACAUUGUUUGUAAACAAAGUCUGCAAUUUAUUCAGGUUUUUCUUAGUUUUAACCAGAUAUUCUUUAUUUGUUCUAGGACACCACAUUACAUUUAGUUGUCAUGUCUCCUUAGGCUCCUCUCGGCUGUGACAGUUCCUCAGACUUUGUUUUGAUGACCUUGGCGGUUUUGAGGAGUACUGGCCAGGUAUUUUGUACAUUGCCCUUCUAUGGGGAUCUGUCUGGCUAAGGUUUUUGUUUUUUGUUUUUUCUCAUUACUAGAAUGGUAUUGAGUUUGAGGGAAGAAUAUCACAGAGGUGAAGUGCCCAUUCUCAUCUCAUCAUAUUAAGAUGAUGAUACAAACUAUCAACAUGAUUUAGGACUAUUGAUCUUGGCCUGGCUCACCUGGCCGGGCCAGUGUUUUCAGUUUUCUCCACUGCAAAGUUACUCUUUCGACCCCUUCUGGUACUGUGCUCUUUGGAGGGAAGUCACUAUGAGCAACCCGCUCUUAAGGAGUUGGGAGCUAUUUAACUCUCCUUGAGAGGGUGCUAAGUAGAUCCAUUAUUUGGAUUCUUCUGUUUAGGAGAUUUGUCCUUUCUAUCCAUCUAUCAUCCAUCUAUCUAUCUAUCUAUCUAUCUAUCUAUCUAUCUAUCUAUCUAUCAUCUCUCUCUGCCUAUUUAUCUAAGCCCACGGCAUGUGGAAGUUCCCAGGGCUAGGCAUUAAUCCACACCACAGCAGUGACCCGAACUGCUGCAGUGACAACCCUGAAUCCUUAACCUGCUGCACCACCAGGGAACUCCUCCAUUUAUUUAUUUACUCCACUCUUUGUUUAUAUCAGUGUGGACUCAUGGAGAGUGAUUUUACACUUUGGAUUAUAAUCCCAAUCCAAUUUUUAAUUUUUCUUGCUCAGAUUAUUUUGGCCCUUGAGAACUCUUGCAGUUUCUCUGGUGCCCUGUUGAUAUGGCCCCAUCAUUGUUCUUUUGAUCUUUUUUUUUUUUUGGAGCACUUUUAAACUUUCUGGCUCUAAAAGAGGCCAUAGAACAGAAUCAGCCAUCCCGCCGUGCUCCCCGCCCAGGAGCCCUGGUCCCUUUUAUUGGAGAAUGGUAUUAGAAGCAAUGAUCCAGGUGCUGGGUUUAUGUUCACUUAGGUACACAUUUUGUAUACUUUUAUCCCUCCAACUACCUUGUAAAGUUAUUUGUCUUAUUUUAUGGACAAGCAAUCUUUGCAGCCAUGCAAAUUUUCCCCAGCUAGUCGUAGAGUCUGACCUCAUGUCUGUAUUUGAGGUGACUACAAAUCCAUGUUCCUUUUAAUAUGCCCAGAAAUAAUGGCUAAAAUGGAAGAAGAGUGUACUUUAUUCCCUGCAAUUGGAUGAAAGAUUUUGCAUUGACUUUUUUUUUUUUUUUCUUUUUAGGGCCGCACCUGUACCAUAUGGAAGAUCCCAGGCUAGGGGUUGAAUUAAAGCUGCAGCUGGGGCCUAUGCCGCAGCCACAGCAAGGCCAGAUCUGAGCUGCCUCUGUGACCUACACCACAGUUCGUGGCAACUCCAGAUCCUUAACCCACUGAUUGAGCCCAAGGAUUGAACUUUAUCCUCGUGGAGAAAAUGUGAGGUCCUUAGCCCAGUGAGUCACAACGGGAACUCCUACAUUGACUUUUAUUUUAUUUUUCCCCCAGAGAAAGAAUUUGUUGUGGGGUCAGUUGUUUGUUGAAGCUCUCUGGCUGUCCAAGGAAAGUGGGGGCUUCUGGUGUCCCCAGUUUACUGCGGUGCCUCUAUGGGCCCAGGACUUGGGAUGCGCUAUCCUGACCUGACUCACAGGAUCAGAGGGAGGGGAAUCUCUCUGGAGGACCCUAGGCAGGCUGCGAACAGGACUAGGGCCAAUCGGAUUUGGAGAGGCAGGGGCUGGUGAGGAGGAAAGAAACAAAGAACAUCACUGGAAGGAAAAACCCUGGGAGAAGGAAAGAUUCUGGCAGAAAAGAGAAAGCCUAAUGCAUAGUGGCCAAAUUUCCAUUUUCCUCAGCAGUUCAGGAGAGUUGGUGGCUCCUUAGUGAGGAUAAAUUUCCUGCCACCAAGUGAGGCACACAGGCUCUUUAUUUGGAUAUUUUCUGUGUCAUUGGAAAAAAAAAACUUGCAUAUAUUUCCAACUCAUUAUCUUUGGGGAUAUUGUUAACUUUAUGACAGAUGGGCCCCAUGGAAGAGGUUGACACUGUCAAGCUCCCAAUGGGGGUGAGUAAGAGACCUGGCCUUGAGUAUAAGUUAAGAAGAACUUGAAGAAAUUUUACUAUAGCCAAAAUAUUUUAAAUAACAUUUGACAUUAAAGCACGUUUAUUGUGGAAAAUAAGAUCAUGCAGACAAGCAAAUAAAAGAAAGAAUUCUCCCACUUAGAGAUAUUUACUCUUAGAAUGUUGCUGUAUUUCUGCUUUUUUUCCUUCUCUAAGUAUCCAUGGAUGACAUCAGACUCAAGUUGCCUAUAAAAUUUGCGUCUCUUUUUUCACUUAAUGUUUGAUUACCUUUUAAUCUUAUUAAGAAUUGCUGGCAAAUUUGAUAUCUAAUGGAUGUAUAAGAUUAUAUCAUAUUGGAUACAUUCAGUUUGAAGUAUGCUGUGAUCAAUUUUUGUAUAUGUUUAUUGUACUUUUUUUUGGUCUUUUUUACAGCUGCACCCACGGCAUAUGGAGCUUUGUUCCCAGGCUAAGGCUCAAAUCAGAGCUGUAGCCACUGGCCUAUACCACAGCCACAGCAACGCAGGAUCCAAGUUGCAUCUGCGUGCGACCUGCACCACAGCUCUCGGCAACACUGGAUCCUUAACCCAGAGUGAGGCCAGGAAUUGACCCUGUGUCCUCAUGGAUGCCAGUCGGAUUCAUUUCUGCUGAGCCACAAGGGGAACUCCUGAAUAUGUACAUUUUGAAGAUAGCUAAGAUGAUUCCCAUAGGAACAAUUUCUAGAAGUGGAAUAAAGUGAUGAUAAUAAAAGUAUCUGUUCCAGAGAGUGGAUGUAAGGAAAAUGAGAUCAAAUGAAUUAAACCACUCACAACAGUGUUUGGUACAUGCCAAACAGUCAAAGAAUGUUAGGUGUGAUUGUUGAAAUUAUGUUCCACUUGAUAAAUAUUUAGAAAUAACAUUCCAGUGGACUCCUUUUCAUUUUUUUUCAUUUUUUCAAAGUUUUUUUUGAAGUAGGGUUGAUUUACAAGGUUGUGAUAAUUUCUGCUGUAAAACAGAAAUUAGUUAUGUAUACAAACAUCCAUUCUCUUUCAGAUUUUUUUUUUCCCAUAUAGAUUAAUAGAUUAUCACAGAAUAUUAGCUAGAGUUCCCUGGUUUUUUUUUUUUUUUUUUUUUUUUUUUUAAGGCCACACCUGAGGCAUAUGGAGGCUCCCAGGCUAGGGGUCGAAUCAGAUCUGUAGCUGAUGGCCUAUAACACAGCCACAGCCAUGCAGGAUCCAAGCUGCAUCUGUGACCUACACGACAGCUCAUAGCAACGCCAGAUCCUUAACCCACUGAGUGAGGCCAGGGAUCAAACCCUCAUCCUCAUGGAUACUACUCAGGCUUGUUACCACUGACCCAUGACUCCCUCUGGUCAUUCUUAAUAUAAGCAUGUCAUCAAACAUUUUAAUAGUGGUUAAAAUAUUGUGAACCACAACACUAAGCUUUGUGAAGGACAUCUGAGGGAAGAGAUGGGCUUCUGGCAAGAAGAGAUUAAAGAAACCAGCAACGGGCCCUUUGAAGAGUGGAUUAAAGGAGUGAGAAAUAGCCUAGAAAGAAAUGAUGAGACAAAUGUCACCAUUUCAUCUGAUGUGAGUAUGACCGGGACUUACUCUGGGGUGGCGUGCAGUCAUGAUGUGUGUGUGUAUGCGUGUGAGAUGUUGUGGGGCUGGUGGGAAAGAGAGGCAAGGCUCUUGUGAUGCCUGAUGUCUUCCUGGGCCCGGGCGUCCCCAGCAGAUGGGCUUUGGGGCUGAACAGCCAGGAGCAGUCACACAUUGUCAAGGGCAGAGUAGAGACUGAGUGGGGUCAUCCAGAGCUGUGAGGAAGGAGACAGGCCAGCUGUUGUCCAGAUUGGAACAACGUGUUCAGUUGUGGAGAAGGUAUAGCUGGAGACCAUCUGUUUUAUCAUAGGGUUAAAAAGACCAAAGCAAAGCCUGGACUGAAGGAUGAUCCAAAGUGAAGGAUCAUCACUGAGGGAUUACAUUUCAAUAAAUGAGACUGGAAUUCAGGAGGAUAGCAAAAAGACUAGGUUAAGAGAACCAAGGUGAGUGUGUUGCCUCCAGGGAACUGUGAUCUAAAAUGCAUUUGUGGAUUUCCCGUCAUGGCUCAGUGGUUAACAAAUCCGACUAGGAACCAUGAGCUCGAUCCCUGGCCUCGUUCAGUGGGUUAAGGAUCUGGCAUUGCUGUGGCUCUGGCGUAGACCGGCGGCUACAGCUCCGAUUCGACCCCUAGCCUGGGAACCUCCAUAUGCCGCGGGUGUGGCCCUAGAAAAGGCAAAAAGAC
RNAcentral lists this long non-coding RNA (4752 nucleotides) under Sus scrofa (pig). RNAcentral describes it as "lncRNA (ENSSSCG00000062732.1)". The record is from RNAcentral. Lineage: Eukaryota; Metazoa; Chordata; Mammalia; Artiodactyla; Suidae.